CCUUUACUAUAGCUUGACACUGAACACUGGUCCUUGAUGUGUAGGAUAGGUGGGAGGCUUUGAAGCGUGGACGCCAGUCUGCGUGGAGCCAACCUUGAAAUACCACCCUUUAAUGGCUGGUGUUCUAACGUAGACCCGUAAUCCGGGUUGCGGACAGUGUCUGGUGGGUAGUUUGACUGGGGCGGUCUCCUCCCAAAGAGUAACGGAGGAGCACGAAGGUUGGCUAAUCCUGGUCGGACAUCAGGAGGUUAGUGCAAUGGCAUAAGCCAGCUUGACUGCGAGCGUGACGGCGCGAGCAGGUGCGAAAGCAGGUCAUAGUGAUCCGGUGGUUCUGAAUGGAAGGGCCAUCGCUCAACGGAUAAAAGGUACUCCGGGGAUAACAGGCUGAUACCGCCCAAGAGUUCAUAUCGACGGCGGUGUUUGGCACCUCGAUGUCGGCUCAUCACAUCCUGGGGCUGAAGUAGGUCCCAAGGGUAUGGCUGUUCGCCAUUUAAAGUGGUACGCGAGCUGGGUUUAGAACGUCGUGAGACAGUUCGGUCCCUAUCUGCCGUGGGCGCUGGAGAAUUGAGGGGGGCUGCUCCUAGUACGAGAGGACCGGAGUGGACGCAUCACUGGUGUUCGGGUUGUCAUGCCAAUGGCACUGCCCGGUAGCUAAAUGCGGAAGAGAUAAGUGCUGAAAGCAUCUAAGCACGAAACUUGCCCCGAGAUGAGUUCUCCCUGAGAC
Molecule: ribosomal RNA, 724 nt
Filed under: Enterobacter hormaechei
Lineage: Bacteria; Pseudomonadati; Pseudomonadota; Gammaproteobacteria; Enterobacterales; Enterobacteriaceae
Description: bacterial LSU rRNA
Rfam family: Bacterial large subunit ribosomal RNA
Source: RNAcentral